RNAcentral lists this long non-coding RNA (89 nucleotides) under Fukomys damarensis (Damara mole-rat). Its description in RNAcentral is "lncRNA (ENSFDAG00000032539.1)". Lineage: Eukaryota; Metazoa; Chordata; Mammalia; Rodentia; Bathyergidae. The record is from RNAcentral.
CACACACAUUCUGCCUUCAGGAACCUGGAGUUGUCCACGGGCAGCCAGGCAGUGUAACGAAGGCAAAUGAGAGCCCAAGAGAGCAGACA